AAGGUAAAAAACGUUCAACUUGCUGCAACCUAAUUGGUGGAAAACUGUUGCUUUUCACCGACAUUUGUUGUUCCCAGGUUUGAACCCCAUUAGCCUCAGGACCCCUGCUGACCCCCAGUCUGUCCUGUUGUUUCACUAAUAAUACUGCAGAGAUUCACUGACUUUGUAAAGUAACUACUGUUGUAGCUCAGGGGUUUGUGUUGUCUUCUGUUAAAUCGUCUGUUCUAGUUCCAAAAACAUCACGGAUGUUUCUCCUCACCUGUCAGUGAUCCUAAUUUCAUGCCUGAUUUAAAGGUGUGUAAUCACGUUGCGGUAAAACUAAUUACAUGCUGUUCACAGUGACUUUGAGUCGUGCAUAAUUGAGCCUCAGGAAACAAGCAGCUUGCGUUGAACCCAUGAGGCCAGUCGAACAAUUCUCAUUUGGUUUGCACUUUUGCUUCGUCACGUUCUGUUAAACCGGGGCAGAGACUUUAGACGGCGUGUUUCUGUUCGUGUUCUCAGUCUCACGCAUGUCGGCGCCGCCUCUGACCAGACUCUGAUGAGUCCCAUCACACAGACCACAGCGCCUCUGAUCUGCAAUAUUCUGGCUCAUAUUCAGAAGAAACUAUAAUUAUUACUGACAGACUGUUCUUCUCAGUGAUGAAGCAUGAACAGUUCUCAUUACAGAGCUUUAUUCAACACAUCACUGCUCAGAGUCAAACAGCUAAUGCAUGUAGCCGCUAGCUGACAUGCUAAAUAUGCUAACAGCUUGGACGCAUAUAAGGAAUCAACUGAAAAUAUGAACCAUUGCUGCCAACAAGUCAGGAUUUAGCGUCCAGCUGCCGGAGCCGGUCUGUACUCGCUGAAACAGGCCAGCCGCCCAGAAACGUUCAGAAUGCUAACCAGAAGCUCAGCGUAUGCUAGCAAUAAAAAGCAGCUGAGAACAAGAAUCCCCUGACCCCCCGCACCCCAACGACUCAUUGAUAGCGUCAGGCUGUUAGCGGCUCAAUCCGGCUGAGUGGCGGCGGUGUGAGGAGGUUAACGCAGAUCCACAGGCUGUGCAUUAAUCACUGGAAGGUCAGGCGGGGAAAGGCUGCUGCAGCAAAUUAGUUCUGGGCGACGGCAGGUGAUCCGAAUGCACACAAACCGCGGGAAGGUAAAACAAAAUCACCGGAUCAGACUGCCUGCAUUCAUCAGGCUGCUCAGGCAGACGUGACCAGCGGAGGAUCGUUAUGUCACCUGAACUCCAUCAACAGCUGCCGUUAAAUGAAUUCGAAGAGUUUCUGCUUCUGAAGGGAACCAACCAGCAGACUCUGGGAAGAUUUGGCUCAUUUUACCACGUAUGGAAAACGGUAACAAAACAGCCGGAGGAUAACAGCUCUGGGCUGAAACGUCUCCAUAACAAUCAGCAGACACAAAUGGAAACAUUGACUUUGACAGGAGGAGGAUGAGACCUUACAGGGAAACUGAAACAAGCUGGCAUCGCUUUACGGGCCACAGAAAACAGAAUCUUCACACUUUUUCAUUAAAAUCGUCCUGAGAACAUCAGAUUUCUCUUGAGCUCCUUUCAGGUUCUGUCACUUUUAUGCAAAUGAGCUGCUGCAGGCCACGCCCCCUACAUCAGUGUUCAUACUUUAUGAAGCAUGGAGGAAAAAACAACU
Gambusia affinis (western mosquitofish) is the source of this 1640-nucleotide long non-coding RNA. RefSeq lists it as uncharacterized. The transcript is spliced from 3 exons. The record is from RefSeq and is a predicted model, not a curated record. Lineage: Eukaryota; Metazoa; Chordata; Actinopteri; Cyprinodontiformes; Poeciliidae.